GACCACGAAUCAACAUGGCGAAAUGGUUUCUGAUUAUCGGACUGCUGGCUACGGUCUUCUGUCAAUUCAAAGCCGAGUUCUCUCAUCACAUCAACACACCAAAUCCUUUUGAUUACAAUUGUACAACAAAUCGCAAAUGUGAACAUCUGUGUGGAGUUGGACAGGGUUGGUGCCUUGGUGGCUGGUGCGCAUGUGUACGAAAACGGGACAUUCCUUCAGCUUCCCUUUGUGGACGGGACGAGGAUUGUCAAGUCAUGGGCUGCUCUCUCUCAAUCUUCACCCCUAGGUGUUUCUUAGGACAGUGCCUCUGUAUUCCUGAACUUGGAAAAUAAAGUCCACCGUGCUUUGUUUGCAUUUUCCUGAC
This is a long non-coding RNA of Liolophura sinensis, 364 nucleotides long. RefSeq lists it as uncharacterized. The record is from RefSeq and is a predicted model, not a curated record. Lineage: Eukaryota; Metazoa; Mollusca; Polyplacophora; Chitonida; Chitonidae. The transcript is spliced from 3 exons.